UAAAAGGGAAGUGUUCAGAUAAAUUAAAUUAAAAAGUUAAAAUUUUCAAUUAAAUUUUAUAAAUAAAUUAGAUUGUAAAUAACCAUUUUACUUAACAAAAAGUUAAUAUCAACUACAAAAAUAAAAAUAUAUAUUUAUUUUAAUUUUUUUAUAUAAAUAUACUACUUUAUCCUUAGUAAAAAUAUAAAUAAAUAAAUAAAACUUAAACAUAAUUGAAAAAAAUAAAAAACCUAAUAACUAAAUUGAGAUUAACUCAAACCCAACUACAAAACUAAUCUUCGUCUUUCCCUACCCCCCAAAUCUCCUUCGUCUCCGUCUUCCCACUUCCCAGUGCCAUCUGCCGCCCAACCCCCCUCUCUCCCGCCCAAAAAUUUUCUUCGUCUCCCCACCCCCACACAAAUCUCAUUCGUCUCUGUUUUCCC
This 422-nucleotide long non-coding RNA is filed under the name Salvia miltiorrhiza (redroot sage). RNAcentral describes it as "long non-coding RNA (SMIL_LNC000386)". Lineage: Eukaryota; Viridiplantae; Streptophyta; Magnoliopsida; Lamiales; Lamiaceae. The record is from RNAcentral.